CAGAACAACAAACAAUUGGUCCAAGCAAAGAAUCGCGGCUCUUCAAAAUAACACUUAUUGAACACCUUAUGGUUACUAGUUCGCAACUGUUAUUUUACACUAGAAAUAUUCACCAAGAGAAACGUCUCUUUGGCUCUUCCAUUUCAUAGAUUCCUUCUUGGUCGACAAUGCUUUAUUCCGAGCGAUAAGGUUGAAUGCCAUUUUGAGAUUGAAGCAAGUAUAAAUCCCAUCACCAUUCAAUAUGCAGCGAGCGGCAUUCACGUCCAAGAUUCCCACCGGGUCGUUAGUCCCAAAACGCUCUUUGGCCAACCGGGAACCCGGAGUGCAUGGAGAAUCGAAUGGAAAACGCUCCGUCAUCAAGCCAAUUUUAAAGCCAAACCAGAUGCAGCAGUGGAACGAGCGAAUGAUUGAAGAUGAAACGCCUCCACCUCUGGUUCCCAGUGAAGUAAUUCUCGUUGAUGAUGACGAGGAUUUGUUCGACUGGGAGCCAUUGGAUGCAACGGAGAUGGAGAUGGCGGUGUUCCAGAGAAUGAAGUUUGAGAGAAAUCUUCGGAAGGCGCAAGCAGAGAAUAUCAAACUGCGGCAGGAAAAUCAACGACUGAAAGCAACAAAAGGGGUAAGUUUUCUCAAUCGUUGUCGUUUUGAAUCCUUACUAUUAAUGAUAGGCGAGAUAGCGGAAUCAAUUUUAUGUUAUGGUUUUUGGUUAUUGUUGUGAGUUGUUAUUGUAGUCUUUAUUUUUGUUCGUUUGUUGCAUUCAGUUUUAAUAUAUUUCUGUAUUUUGUUGUGGUUUUUUAUUCAGAUUUCUGUAUUGUGGUUUUAGAUUUUUCCUUUGUUGAUUUUGAUUGAUUAGUUGUAGUGAUGUUUUUUUUGUAGCCUCUGCUUUUAUUAUGUUUUUUACUUAGAGUUCUACAUUGUGGUUUUAGUUGAUUUAUUUUCGUUUUUGUUUUCAUUGUAGGUUUUUUUUAUUAUUUGUUCUGUUAUCGUUUUCUGUGUAUUGUUGAACUCUACAUUAUUUAAUGUUGCGAUGUUUGAUGCCAUUUUUUAUAUAUUUCAUGGUAUAUUUACAAUAACCCGUUUGAUGAUAAUAAUUUUCUUGAAUCAUGCUUUAUACUAUAUUUGAUUGUUUUGUUUUUCUGUUGAUAACUUUAUUAAUAUAUUUUUUCUUGCGUUUUUUUGAGUAUUUGCGAGCCUCCAAGGCGAAUCUCCUGUCCAUAGUUGGACCUACUGGAUUCCCUAUAGUACUGAUGAAAUAUGUCAUGAGAUACCAAAACGAAGCAGUUACUGAAGCAGAUCAUGCAAGCGAAUCCAUGAGAGCAGAGAGCAUUUCCGGAGAUUUUUUUAAAUAUGUUAAUUGAAGUCCAAUAAAUUAUUUUCAUUUUAA
Molecule: long non-coding RNA, 1381 nt
Organism: Toxorhynchites rutilus septentrionalis
Lineage: Eukaryota; Metazoa; Arthropoda; Insecta; Diptera; Culicidae
Exons: 4
Source: RefSeq, a predicted model, not a curated record